This 888-nucleotide long non-coding RNA is filed under the name Cricetulus griseus (Chinese hamster). Its description in RNAcentral is "lncRNA (ENSCGRG00015040897.1)". Lineage: Eukaryota; Metazoa; Chordata; Mammalia; Rodentia; Cricetidae. The record is from RNAcentral.
GUGAAUCAGAAUUAAGAGUUGGAGGUAGAAAUCAGGACUUGGGCACUGGACGUGGUGUAAUAGUGAGAGGCAUUUGCCUUAGACCACCUUCUGUUGCUAAAAUUACAACUCAUGGGGUGAGGUGUUUUGGGGGCUCCUGUGUGUGUGUGUGUGUGUGUGUGUGUGUGUGUGUGUGUGUUUUCUUUUGAAUGGCUUGCUUUGGUUAGAGAUUUUGGUGUGAGAUCCUGGGACCAAAUUAGCAAGGGAUAGGUAGCAAGAUAGACCUAGCCAAACUUGUUUUAUGAGCAGUCUCACUUUGCAGAUAAACAGUUAAUUUAAUAAUUGUUUUUAUGGAAUUAGUGCAUUUAUGAUGGCAUUUAUAAAGGCCCUACAUCCGCCCAUGGAAGACCUCACUCUCCAUGGGGAGCAGAACUGGGAUAGAGCCUUCAACGAGUAGCUGAUGGAAGCAGAAGCAGACACUCACCUAAGAAUUGAGCUGAAGUCUGGAAUCCAGUUAUAGAGAGGGAGGAGUAAUCAGCAAAGGGGGCAAGACCAAGCUGGGGAGACCCACAGAAACAGCUGACCUGAACAAGGGGGAGCUCAUAGACCCCAGACUGACAGCUGGGGAACCAGCAGAGAACAUAACCAGACAGUCACAGCAAAUCAGAGAUGAAAUUUAACUUUUUGGUAUUUGUUGUUUUCAUUAUUUUUUAUCUUUCUGUGCAGGUUUUAAAAACGCUAGUUAGUGCUGUGUGCCUCUAACCCCAAGCCCAAGCAAGAGUGUGAGUUCCAGGACCAUCAAGAAACCCAAAUAAUUACCACCACAACAACAAAAUAGUUGACACUUUGGAUCACCUUUCAGCGACCAAGAACUUUCCUUUUUGCUAAAUAAAUCCUCUUUGUUUUGCU